RNAcentral lists this ribosomal RNA (541 nucleotides) under uncultured bacterium. RNAcentral describes it as "partial 16S ribosomal RNA". It matches the Rfam family "Bacterial small subunit ribosomal RNA", at positions 355 to 888 of the family's 1533-position model. The record is from RNAcentral.
UGGGGAAUUUUGGACAAUGGGCGAAAGCCUGAUCCAGCAAUGCCGCGUGUGUGAAGAAGGCCUUCGGGUUGUAAAGCACUUUUGUCCGGAAAGAAAUCCUUGGCUCUAAUACAGUCGGGGGAUGACGGUACCGGAAGAAUAAGCACCGGCUAACUACGUGCCAGCAGCCGCGGUAAUACGUAGGGUGCAAGCGUUAAUCGGAAUUACUGGGCGUAAAGCGUGCGCAGGCGGUUUGCUAAGACCGAUGUGAAAUCCCCGGGCUCAACCUGGGAACUGCAUUGGUGACUGGCAGGCUAGAGUAUGGCAGAGGGGGGUAGAAUUCCACGUGUAGCAGUGAAAUGCGUAGAGAUGUGGAGGAAUACCGAUGGCGAAGGCAGCCCCCUGGGCCAAUACUGACGCUCAUGCACGAAAGCGUGGGGAGCAAACAGGAUUAGAUACCCUGGUAGUCCACGCCCUAAAACGAUGUCAACUAGUUGUUGGGGAUUCAUUUCCUUAGUAACGUAGCUAACGCGUGAAGUUGACCGCCUGGGGAGUACGGUCG